Paramuricea clavata is the source of this 562-nucleotide non-coding RNA. The record is from the annotation of a GenBank genome assembly. NCBI's taxonomy places the organism in Eukaryota, Metazoa, Cnidaria, Anthozoa, Malacalcyonacea, Plexauridae.
UAUAUAUAUAUAAUUUUAUAAUAAUAAAAAUAGUAAUAAUAAAAUAAGAAGUGAAAUACUUUACAAUUACAUGUUGUCACUCAUUGCAUGGAACACCUUAAUGUGCACUCCAGUUUAUCGAAUAAAUUAAAGAUUUCAUGCACUGAUUUGUUUGACUUAUUUCGCAAUCAAUGCGAAGCAAUACGUUUUUGCGUCUACAGUUGCCCAAGCAACCUAUGGCAGCUAUGGUGACGUGUUUCAAUGUUUCAAUGGGUGGUGGUUCUUGACCUGCAGUUUGUUUUGUCAAUGUAAGUCACAUGCGUAAGUCACAUUUAGAAAUUAAGUCAUUGGCAUAUUGUAAACACUGGACUGGACUAGGUUUGGAAUGGACUCUGGACUUAAAAUUUCGUUCUAAAAACACUGCGCGAAAUAAAUAACUACAAACAGUACAUGAACCUUCAGAGUACUGCCUCUAUAAUCAUUCAUAUAUACAGGGUGUCCCCCAAAAAAGUGAAACUAUAGAAAUUAUCAACGCGCGUGAUUACACGCCUGGGAAUUUAAUGAACUUGUAUUUACAUUUAAG